Molecule: ribosomal RNA, 422 nt
Filed under: uncultured bacterium
Lineage: Bacteria
Description: partial 16S ribosomal RNA
Rfam family: Bacterial small subunit ribosomal RNA
Source: RNAcentral
AAUAUUUGACACUGGGGGCAACCCCGAUCCAGCCAUGCCGCGUGUGUGAAGAAGGNCUNNGGAUUNUNAAGCACUUUAAGUUGNNNNNAAGGGCUUCAGGCUAAUACCCUGAAGUUUUGAUGUUACCAACAGAAUAAGCACUGGCUAACUCUGUGCCACCAGCCGCGGUAAUACAGAGGGUGCAAGCGUUAAUCGGAAUUACUGGGCGUAAAGCGCGCGUAGGUGGUUCAGUAAGAUGGAUGUGCAAUCCCCGGGCUUAACCUGGGAACUGCUUUCAUAACUGCUGAGCUAGAGUACGGUAGAGGGUAGUGGAAUUUCCUGUGUAGCGGUGAAAUGCGUAGAUAUAGGAAGGAACACCAGUGGCGAAGGCGACUACCUGGACUGAUACUGACACUGAGGUGCGAAAGCGUGGGGAGCAAACA